GAUACUAAGCCAUGCGAGUCAUUGUAGCAAUACAAGGCAUACGGCUCAGUAACGCGUAGUCAACCUAACCUAUGGACGGGAAUAACCUCGGGAAACUGAGAAUAAUGCCCGAUAGAACAUUAUACCUGGAAUGGUUUAUGUUCCAAAUGAUUUAUCGCCGUAGGAUGGGACUGCGGCCUAUCAGUUUGUUGGUGAGGUAAUGGCCCACCAAGACUAUUACAGGUACGGGCUCUGAGAGGAGUAGCCCGGAGAUGGGUACUGAGACACGGACCCAGGCCCUAUGGGGCGCAGCAGGCGAGAAAACUUUGCAAUGUGCGAAAGCACGACAAGGUUAAUCCGAGUGAUUUCUGCUAAAGAAAUCUUUUGUUAGUCCUAGAAACACUAACGAAUAAGGGGUGGGCAAGUUCUGGUGUCAGCCGCCGCGGUAAAACCAGCACCUCAAGUGGUCAGGAUGAUUAUUGGGCCUAAAGCAUCCGUAGCCGGCUCUGUAAGUUUUCGGUUAAAUCUGUACGCUCAACGUACAGGCCGCCGGGAAUACUGCAAAGCUAGGGAGUGGGAGAAGUAGACGGUACUCGGUAGGAAGUGGUAAAAUGCUUUGAUCUAUCGAUGACCACCUGUGGCGAAGGCGGUCUACUAGAACACGUCCGACGGUGAGGGAUGAAAGCUGGGGGAGCAAACCGGAUUAGAUACCCGGGUAGUCCCAGCUGUAAACUAUGCAAACUCAGUGAUGCAUUGGCUUGUG
RNAcentral lists this ribosomal RNA (742 nucleotides) under uncultured archaeon. Its description in RNAcentral is "bacterial SSU rRNA". It matches the Rfam family "Archaeal small subunit ribosomal RNA", at positions 40 to 788 of the family's 1478-position model. The record is from RNAcentral.